Molecule: ribosomal RNA, 426 nt
Filed under: uncultured bacterium
Lineage: Bacteria
Description: bacterial SSU rRNA
Rfam family: Bacterial small subunit ribosomal RNA
Source: RNAcentral
AACGAACGCUGGCGGCGUGCCUAACACAUGCAAGUCGAACGAGAAAGGGGCUUCGGCUCCGAGUAAAGUGGCGCACGGGUGAGUAACACGUAGGUAACCUGCCUCUAAGAUUGGGAUAACCUGUCGAAAGACGAGCUAAUACCGAAUAAGACCACAGCUUCCUCAGAAGCAGGGGUCAAAGGUAGCCUCUACUUGUAAGCUAUCACUUAGAGAUGGGCCUGCGUACCAUUAGCAGUUGGUGGGUAACGGCCUACCAAGGCGAAGAUGGUUAGCUGGUCUGAGAGGAUGAUCAGCCACACUGGAACUGAGACACGGUCCAGACUCCUACGGGAGGCAGCAGUGGGGAAUAUUGCGCAAUGGGCGAAAGCCUGACGCAGCAACGCCGCGUGAGUGAUGAAGGCUUUCGGGUCGUAAAGCUCUGUCGGA